AACUUUCAACAACGGAUCUCUUGGUUCUGGCAUCGAUGAAGAACGCAGCGAAAUGCGAUAAGUAAUGUGAAUUGCAGAAUUCAGUGAAUCAUCGAAUCUUUGAACGCACAUUGCGCCCCGUGGUAUUCCGCGGGGCAUGCCUGUUCGAGCGUCAUUAUA
This 159-nucleotide ribosomal RNA is filed under the name Anguillospora crassa. RNAcentral's name for it is "5.8S ribosomal RNA". It matches the Rfam family "5.8S ribosomal RNA". From Rfam's summary of the family: 5.8S ribosomal RNA (5.8S rRNA) is a component of the large subunit of the eukaryotic ribosome. It is transcribed by RNA polymerase I as part of the 45S precursor that also contains 18S and 28S rRNA. The record is from RNAcentral. Lineage: Eukaryota; Fungi; Ascomycota.